RNAcentral lists this unclassified non-coding RNA (308 nucleotides) under Hevea brasiliensis (rubber tree). Lineage: Eukaryota; Viridiplantae; Streptophyta; Magnoliopsida; Malpighiales; Euphorbiaceae. The record is from RNAcentral.
UCAGGUUUAAAAGAAUUUGUACUGUUGUUCUGAAAGCUGCUCUGAGCAUCAUCAUGAUGAGAUGCCAGUACGUCCUGAGGAGUCACAUUUCCUCCUAGUUGCAAUGAUACGCUUCCUUGUAAAUUUUCCCGCCCAGAGAAGCUUAGGAUUCUAGAAUCGGCAGAAAGAAUUUGCUGAACACCUGUAUGGCUGUCUGAUACCCUCAUUCUUUUCAAGGACCUUUCACUAGGAUCAGUUUCCACAUCUUUCAUCACCUGCAUUUGGUUUAGUAAGGAAUAACUUGGUUGAGGAAAGCUAUUUGGUUUGAG